RNAcentral lists this ribosomal RNA (253 nucleotides) under uncultured bacterium. RNAcentral describes it as "partial 16S ribosomal RNA". It matches the Rfam family "Bacterial small subunit ribosomal RNA", at positions 524 to 776 of the family's 1533-position model. The record is from RNAcentral.
UACGUAGCGUGCGAGCGUUAAUCGGAAUUACUGGGCGUAAAGCGUGCGCAGGCGGCUCUAUAAGACAGAUGUGAAAUCCCCGGGCUUAACCUGGGAACUGCGUUUGUGACUGUAGGGCUUGAGUGCGGCAGAGGGGGGUGGAAUUCCACGUGUAGCAGUGAAAUGCGUAGAGAUGUGGAGGAACACCGAUGGCGAAGGCAGCCCCCUGGGUCGACACUGACGCUCAUGAACGAAAGCGUGGGGAGCAAACAGG